AUUGAACGCUGGCGGCAUGCUUUACACAUGCAAGUCGAACGGCAGCGCGGGCUUCGGCCUGGCGGCGAGUGGCGAACGGGUGAGUAAUACAUCGGAACGUGCCCAGUAGUUGGGGAUAGCUCGGCGAAAGCCGGAUUAAUACCGCAUACGACCUGAGGGUGAAAGCGGGGGAUCUUCGGACCUCGCGCGAUUUGAGCGGCCGAUGGCGGAUUAGCUAGUUGGUUGGGUAAAGGCCUACCAAGGCGACGAUCUGUAGCUGGUCUGAGAGGACGACCAGCCACACUGGGACUGAGACACGGCCCAGACUCCUACGGGAGGCAGCAGUGGGGAAUUUUGGGCAAUGGGCGAAAGCCUGAUCCAGCAAUGCCGCGUGUGUGAUGAAGGCCUUCGGGUUGUAAAGCACUUUUGGCGGGAACGAAAAGGACUGUGCCAAUACCACGGUUCGAUGACGGUACCCGCAGAAUAAGCACCGGCUAACUACGUG
This 484-nucleotide ribosomal RNA is filed under the name uncultured bacterium. Its description in RNAcentral is "partial 16S ribosomal RNA". It matches the Rfam family "Bacterial small subunit ribosomal RNA", at positions 29 to 507 of the family's 1533-position model. The record is from RNAcentral.